GGUAAACACGGAGGCACCCACGCAGCCGCAGGCAGUACCUGAACAGGGAGCAGGCGCGCUACAGGUAACAGGUACAACAGCAGCAGUGCUUAUUUUCCCCAGCAGCCAUGUAUGCGUGUAGGUGGGAGACACAAUGAAAAAAAACACCAGAUUGGAGAUCCUGAAGAUGCUAACAGCAUCUUAACUCCUCUGAUGCUGCUUGGCCUGUUGUGUGCAUCCAGCUCUACACCUUGUUAUCUCAGAUUCUCCAGCUUUGGCAGUUCCCACUAUCUCAGCAUCUUAACCAACAUCAUUUUACAUGACCUUGUGAUGCCUCUGGUUUACAUAACUCAGUCCCCAGGUUAUGAAUUAUAUUUACACACUUUAACAAGGAAAAGGGAAAGAGAGACAUCAUAUUGAGGACAUACAGGACGUUGCUGAGGCCUGUUCUGGAAUACUGUGACCAAUUCUGGUCGCCCUGUAAUAGGAAGAAUAAUUAUUAAGCUGAAGAGGGUUCAGAAAAGAUUUACCAGGACGUUGCCGGGUAUGGGAAGGUUUGAGUUAUAAGGAGAGGCUGGGUAGGCUGGGACUUUUUUCACUGGAGUGUAGGAGGUUAAGGGGUGACCUUAUAGAGGUUUAUAAAAUCAUGAGGGGUAUACAUAACGCAAAUGGCAGAUGUCUUUUCCCUAGGAUUUCAAGACUAGGGGUCAUAAUUUUAAGGUGAGAGGAGAGAGAUUUAAAAAAGAUAUGAGGGAAAACUUUUUUACACAGAGAGUGGUUUGUGUGUGGAAUGAACUUCCAGAGGAAAUGGUGGAUGCAGGUGCAGUUAUGAGGUUUAAAAGACAUUAAGAUGAGUACAUGAAUAAGAAACGUUUGGAGGCACAUGUGCCAAGCAGGCAGGUGGGACUAGUUUAGUUUGGGAUUAUGGUCGGCGAGGACUGGUGGGACUGAAGGGUCUGUUUCCAUGCUGUGUGACUCUGUGAGAAAGAGAGAGAGAAAGAGAGAAAAAGGAAUUUUAUAACGUUUUUCAGAUCCUCAACCUGAAGGAAAACUCAGUAAAUUUUGCAAGUGACACAUCUUAGUCUGAAUUGUAAGCUUCAAAAUGGAACUCCAGUACAACCAGUGUGUUCUUUCCAUGUAUUGCUAGUUUUGAAUGUUUUUUGUCCUAUUGGGAUGACACCUCUGAUCACCUCACAGCCAAUUUGACAUUGCAUUUGAGUUGCAAUGUGAGGAAACAAACACCUUUUGAUAAGAUUGUGGAAGUAGAAUAGAAAGAACAGAGGAGGCAUGAGACAUGAAAUCCAUGUUUAAGGAGAAACUUUUCUCACUAGCAUAGGUUGGAUAGCCAGAGGACAAAUUCAAGUAACAUUCACACUGCACAAGUGACAGACAAUGACUGUCUCCUAUGAGGGAAAAUUUAACCCUCUCCUGCUAACUUUCAAUACAUUACUGCUACAUUAUCAAUGUUUUGGGGAUUAAAAUUGAUUAGAAACUGAACUGGACCAGUCACAUAAAUACUGGAAAAGCUUAGAUUUCCAUGGCGAGUCACUCACCUCCUGACUCCCCAGAAAUCUGUCCAUUACUUACAGUCAGGAGUGUGAUGGGAUUUUUCCCCACUUGCCUGGAUGGGUGCAGCUCCAAUAACAUUCAAGGAGCUCAACGCCAUCCAGGGGAAUGCAGUCCUGCUUGAUUGGUCACCACCUUCAACAUUCAGUCUCUCCAUCACAAUGUUUACCACCUAGAAGGCACACUGCAGCUCCUUAGAUUAAUAAUGAUUAUAAGUGGAUAAUCCUUAGACAGCACCUUCCAAACCUGCGACUUCUACCAUCUUGAACGACAAGGGCUGUAGAUGUGUGGGAAUACUACCGACAAGUUGCCUUCCAAGCCGCACCAUCUUCACUUGGAAAUAUAUCGCUGUUCCCUCACUGUCGCUGGUUCAAAAUCCUGGCACUCCCUUCAUAACAGCAUUGUGAGUAUAUCUACUCCCUGCGGACUGCCAAGAUUCAAGUAGGUAGCUCACAACCACUUACUGAAUGGGAGAUAAAUACUGGCCUACCUAGUGACACCAACAUCUUGUGAAUGAAAAAUAAAGUUUGAGUAAGAAAGAGAAA
Rhincodon typus (whale shark) is the source of this 2090-nucleotide long non-coding RNA. RefSeq lists it as uncharacterized. NCBI's taxonomy places the organism in Eukaryota, Metazoa, Chordata, Chondrichthyes, Orectolobiformes, Rhincodontidae. The transcript is spliced from 3 exons. The record is from RefSeq and is a predicted model, not a curated record.